This is a long non-coding RNA of Trachemys scripta elegans, 748 nucleotides long. RefSeq lists it as uncharacterized. Lineage: Eukaryota; Metazoa; Chordata; Testudines; Emydidae. The transcript is spliced from 3 exons. The record is from RefSeq and is a predicted model, not a curated record.
AGUCCACACAAUGGAGCUUCCAACCCGGCCCCCUGAAUUCCCCCCGCUUCUUUCAGUGCAUAGGAUGGACCCGCUUUGAAGAUGAAUCAGCGCUGUGUAGUGAAGGAGAAGAAAUGGUCUUGCAGAGUUUUUCAAAACAGUUUAAAUCCAGAAAUCAAACAAAACACUAAUGAAAAGUUGGACUGGAAAGACUUCAUUUUGGCCUAAAAUGGGACUGAGCUAAUGCCACACUGUGGUAUAUCACACAAAGAAGGUACAUGAGAAGAAAGGGUUUGCUUAGCCCUAUAGAACUUCUGUGUGUCUGUAUCUCUAGGGUUGGUUAUACUCAUCAUUCUGGUAUGCAAGACUUGAGCUGGAACAAUUGAACAAAAAGCAUAUCCUGCUCUGAGAAUCAUAAAAGUCUUGAUGGACUACACAACACGAGUAAUUCCAGGUUCUUACUGGGAAAAAAAUUAAGAAUACAAGGAGACAUAUUGCAGCAAUUCCUUAAAAAUCUCUCUCACUCCUAAUGAGAAGACAAAUUCCCACACGGCACCCAUUAAAAACUCCACAAGUAGGGAGGGGGGAAAAGGGAUAUUUCUUGCUGUCAGUGCCAUUAAAUAACACCUUGGGAUAACACUUAUGUGACAGCAGGAUACAUUAGUGAGCACACAAGUAUUCUAGGGAUAGCAGAAGAUAAACGUUGAUACACUCGUUAUCUAUACCUGUGAAGCUCUGCAAGUGAAGUAAGCGGAGUCCUCCAAGCAAC